This 436-nucleotide ribosomal RNA is filed under the name uncultured bacterium. RNAcentral describes it as "bacterial SSU rRNA". It matches the Rfam family "Bacterial small subunit ribosomal RNA", at positions 28 to 477 of the family's 1533-position model. The record is from RNAcentral.
GACGAAUGCUGGCUGCGUGCUUAACACAUGCAAGUCGAACGGUGAACAGGGGCUUGCCCCUGGGAUCAGUGGCGAACGGGUGAGUAACACGUGGGCAACCUGCCCCUCACUCUGGGAUAAACUCCGGGAAACCGGGGCUAAUACCGGAUACGACCAGGCACGACAUCGGGUCUGGUGGAAAGAACUUCGGUGAGGGAUGGGCCCGCGGCCUAUCAGCUUGUUGGUGAGGUAAUGGCUCACCAAGGCGACGACGGGUAGCCGGCCUGAGAGGGCGACCGGCCACACUGGGACUGAGACACGGCCCAGACUCCUACGGGAGGCAGCAGUGGGGAAUAUUGCGCAAUGGGCGAAAGCCUGACGCAGCGACGCAGCGUGAGGGACGAAGGCCUCGGGUUGUAACCGUCUUUCUAGCGGGACGAAGACGAAAGUGACGGUA